GAUGAUGGACUUAUUGCUCCUACUCUUACCAACUGCACUGCUCCAUUUAUAAAUAGAGCAAGCUACCAUGUUAUCUUUCAAAUCCCAUUUCAGAAAGAAAAAAGAGCAAGGAUUUAGCAUUUAGCAGCAAUGGCUCCAGGUCAGGAAGAGCAACAAAACCAACAAGGUGGCCACCAAAAUCUUCAACAGAGUCUUGCUAUUUACAAGGAUAUUCUUGAAACAAAGGAGCCUGAACCAAAACAGGAGUAGCAAAACCUAGUUGGUAGACACCAGGAAAUUGGACACAAGAGUCUCUUACAGAGUGAUGCUCUUUACCAGUAUAUACUGGAAACUAGCGUUUAUCCUAGAGAGCCUGAACCACUGACAGAGCUCCGUGAAUUGACGGCAAACCAUCCAUGGAACAUCAUGACGACAUCAGCUGAUGAAGGGCAAUUUUUGAGCAUGCUUCUUAAGCUCAUCAACGCCAAGAACACUAUGGAAAUUGGUGUUUACACUGGCUACUCACUUCUUGCCACUGCUCUUGCUCUUCCUGAUGAUGGCAAGAUAUUAGCCAUGGACAUCAAUCGUGAAAACUACGAAUUGGGUCUACCUGUUAUUGAAAAAGCUGGUGUUGCUCACAAGAUUGAUUUCAGAGAAGGCCCUGCACUUCCAGUUCUUGAUCAAUUGAUCCAAGAUGAAAAAUGCCAUGGAACAUUUGAUUUUAUCUUUGUGGAUGCUGAUAAAGACAAUUACCUUAACUACCACAAGAGGACCAUUGAGCUUGUGAAGGUUGGAGGACUUAUCGGCUAUGACAAUACCCUGUGGAAUGGCUCUGUGGCUGCACCUCCUGAUGCACCAUUAAGGAAAUAUGUCAGGUUCUAUCUUGAUUAUGUUUUGCAGUUCAACAAGGCUAUAGCUGCUGAUCCAAGAGUCGAGAUUUGCCAGCUUCCUGUUGGUGAUGGGAUUACUCUGUGCCGCCGCAUUAGCUGAUCAUUUUAAUGGAGUUUUGUGUAAUGCUGCAAUUGUUUGAUUGAAACAAUUCAAGUAUGGAACAAUUCACAAAGGGUCUAGGGUUAGUAAUCCACCCAGUAGUUGAAUCCCUAGCACAGAAAAUUAAGGCUCACAGAGUUCCAAGUUAUGUGUUUUUGAAUUUUAAUUAAUAUCUCAAUAAUAUAUCAGAUUUUCAGAAAAA
RNA transcript from Manihot esculenta (cassava), 1171 nucleotides. It is a transcript of the gene named caffeoyl-CoA O-methyltransferase 1-like, with no coding region annotated. NCBI's taxonomy places the organism in Eukaryota, Viridiplantae, Streptophyta, Magnoliopsida, Malpighiales, Euphorbiaceae. The transcript has 6 exons. The record is from RefSeq and is a predicted model, not a curated record.